This 253-nucleotide ribosomal RNA is filed under the name uncultured prokaryote. Its description in RNAcentral is "partial 16S ribosomal RNA". It matches the Rfam family "Archaeal small subunit ribosomal RNA", at positions 475 to 728 of the family's 1478-position model. The record is from RNAcentral.
ACCCGCGGCCCGAGUGGUGCUCAUUAUUAUUGAGUCUAAAACGUCCGUAGCCGGUCGAGUAGAUUCCUGGGUAAAUCCAACCGCUCAACGGUUGGAAUUCCGGGGAGACCGCCCGACUAGGGACCGGGAGAGGCGCGAGGUACUCCUGGGGUAGGGGUAAAAUCCUGUAAUCCUGGGAGGACCACCAGUGGCGAAGGCGUCGCGCUAGAACGGAUCCGACGGUCAGGGACGAAGCCCAGGGGCGCAAACGGGA